GGGGACGAAACUGGUUUCGACGGGGAUUUGGAAUUUGUAGUAGCAAGCCGUUGUUGAUCCUUCAACGUUAAAAAGAUCAAAAACAAUAAACGAUAAUAAUAAUUACGCGUUAGCAGCAUAAAUUAGCUGCUCAUCUCCUUUAAGAAUCCCACAGCUUUUAGAGAGGUGUCAAUUUCGUGGGGAACCGCAUACGGCUAAGCUUUGCACCGUAGACGGAAUCUAUGAAGCUACCUUUUUAGGAAGUCUCGUUAUUCAGACUCCUAUUGAGGGAAUAAAUAAAGAAUAACUGAGCUUGGAGAAACUACUUUGGAAAGAUUCUCGGACGCGAGUUCGACUCUCGCCGUCUCCACCA
This 352-nucleotide transfer-messenger RNA is filed under the name Tissierellia bacterium. It matches the Rfam family "transfer-messenger RNA". Rfam says of the family: Bacterial tmRNA, also known as 10Sa RNA or SsrA, is named for its dual tRNA and mRNA-like properties. Its role is to liberate the mRNA from a stalled ribosome. To accomplish this part of the tmRNA is used as a reading frame that ends in a translation stop signal. Lineage: Bacteria; Bacillati; Bacillota; Tissierellia. The record is from RNAcentral.